Molecule: ribosomal RNA, 23 nt
Filed under: Acropora formosa
Lineage: Eukaryota; Metazoa; Cnidaria; Anthozoa; Scleractinia; Acroporidae
Description: partial 18S ribosomal RNA
Source: RNAcentral
AGAUCAACCUGCGGAAGGAUCAU